CCUAGGUUUCAACUUUCCUUGAUACCCUGUUUUGGGCAACAAGAACAUGCCUGGUGUGCGGACAGACAUGGAACGGGGGCGGCGAAGGCAGUUGCUCCCCAACUUUGAAAGCGGGGGGGGGGGAGCAAUGAUCACCAACUUGGGCAAAAAAUAAAUAAUUUGCUGGUAGAAAGUCAAUGAAAAAUCUAGAAGUUUUCAGAAUUUGUCUCAAAAUGCAAAUUGUCACACCCAUGGGAACAGCGAUGCAGCUGGGCGCUGGCCCUCCGACUUUGAAAGCACGGGGCAGUGCCCUCCCAACUUCAAGAGAACAUUUGGUAGUUGAUGUUGAAAUUGUCAAAGUUUGGGUGGUGUACCUGUGUUUUCACACAUUCCUCUGCUGGUAACGAGUGACCUUGCCUGCCGUCUGCACCUGUACUCAACAUUUUUCCGAGUAGACUGUUUAUCAUUGUCUUGGUGACCACACUUUCAACUAACUUGAAAAUCGUUCUUAUGUCACUGUGUGCAGAAAACACCUGGAUAGAAUAUCUAACCUCCUUAGACAAAACAUUGAUUCUUAUGUGUCAAAGGCACAUGUGAACUGUGUAGGGAUUGCAUGGCCUGUCUCGACGUGGCUCAACUUUGGAGCCAGCGUGUUGGGUCCCGGCUUCCCGCCAUUCACCGGCGGACCGUUCCGCUUCGUGGACCGCAUCGGCCCCGCACAGCUGGUCAAGGGCAUUAAGCGCUUUGUCGCUGUCUACAGCGUCGGAUUCGAGCUGGUCGGGCACAAGUCGCGCUCUCCACGUGACCGAGCCCGCCCUUAGGCGACCGAUGCCCGCCAACCGGCCGCCGCGCGGACGGAGGUGACGCUGCCGGCCAUCGAGCGGCUCAUCGAGGCGGGCAACGCUCGGAUCAUCGAGACACUGGAAAAGAGACUCGCCCAGUAGGAGCGGAGAAUAGAGAUCCUCGAGGCAGAAUGUCAGGAGACAGAUGUCAUGAUGAUCCGCCGGGAAAUGACAUCCCAGAAAGAGGAGACCAGGGAGCUUAAGGAAAAGGUCGACGGAAUCAACAGAAACCGGCGCAUGUCCUCACUUAUCAUCACGUGUGAGGAAUUCGGUGACAGGAAGCCCGGGGAGGACAUUGAGCUCAUGACGGUGCAAGCGCUCAACAAGCGUUUC
Molecule: RNA transcript, 1154 nt
Organism: Amphibalanus amphitrite
Lineage: Eukaryota; Metazoa; Arthropoda; Thecostraca; Balanomorpha; Balanidae
Gene name: fatty acid oxidation complex subunit alpha-like
Exons: 2
Source: RefSeq, a predicted model, not a curated record